UAACUUACUGUUCUGGGUCGUGCUAUGAUUGAGCAUAACCUACUGAGUGCUAGCAAACUUUAUACAAAUAUAAGCUUUGAUGAGUUGGGCACACUGUUGGGAAUUCCUCCUCAAAAGCAUGUCAGUGGAGCACAAGAAUCAUCUUGGUUGCCA
Molecule: long non-coding RNA, 153 nt
Organism: Ipomoea nil (Japanese morning glory)
Lineage: Eukaryota; Viridiplantae; Streptophyta; Magnoliopsida; Solanales; Convolvulaceae
Exons: 3
Source: RefSeq, a predicted model, not a curated record